This 14064-nucleotide long non-coding RNA is filed under the name Solanum tuberosum (potato). Its description in RNAcentral is "long non-coding RNA (STUB_LNC011554)". Lineage: Eukaryota; Viridiplantae; Streptophyta; Magnoliopsida; Solanales; Solanaceae. The record is from RNAcentral.
UUUUUAAAAGGUUGUCAUCAUGUUUAGUUCCUUACUCAUAGCAAAAUUUACUCCUUGCUCGAAAUAAUUUGGCACGCUACUCUCUUUUAAUAACACUCCGUCCUUUAGCACGAUAGAUUAGCACCAUUGGUAAAGUUAAUUUUGAUUAUAGUAUGAGAUGCAUUACUUGUGGAUUAUGCAACGUGUCUUCCUCCCAACAUUUUUGAAUUAUUGUAUGUUAAUGGCUAAGUACUCCCUGUAAUAUAAUAUAUUCAUAAAUGUAUACAUGUGUUAUUUUUUAGUGUCAUCGUCUGGCUUUGUUAAUUUAGUUUAUUUUGUCCUCUUUAAAAGUAAUAUGUCAUGUUGGCCGAUUAGUUGGAUGGCUGUUUGACUUUUAGUUUUUUUUUUCAUUUUGGAUUUUCCUGAAUAGCUCUCAUUUCAACCGAGUUAUGCCUCGUUUGUUAGUUAAUCAAAUUCUAAUUUUGUCUCUUUCGUUUUGUUGUAUGAACCCUUUCCGAGUCCAUGAUGUAUUUCACUCCCUUGCAUUCCCGAAUCGAGCCAUGGAGGCUCAAAAUUCUUUUCGUCGUUGAGUGAAUCAGAUUAUCGGGUGCACAAGAAGAAAUGAGAAAAUACAAGGCGGGCAGAAAUUGAAUUUCCAAGUCCCAAAAAGGGACCAAAAUCUAAGUGAUUUCAACAGGCCCGAAUGAAAAAAAAUGGGCCAAAGCCUCAUUCAAAAAUUGUUGCAGGAACUUUGAAGAAUUGGGCCUAAAAGCCUAUUUUUGCUGAAUUUGGGCAAAGAGCCCAAAUUCAAAUCUUCUCUCCUUUCUCUCCUUUAUUUAUAUUGUAUUGUUCGACUAACCUUGAUUACCUUAUGAUUUAAUUUAAUUAAAUUCACGAGGAGGGUCAUUUCAUUUUAUUUUCCAAAUUAAAGUAUAUAUAUAUAUAUUUUUUAGUACUUGGCUCCUUUUUUAAUGUUAGUUUGGUCAAUACUCAACUAUUCCCCUUUAGAAAAUUUCUCUUUAGUUCAUUCCCCCUUAAGAUAAAUAAAAAUGAUAAAAAUAUUAAUAGUAAUAAAUAAAUAAGUUCUUUUAUUUAGUUAAAAAAAAAUUAAAAAUAAAUGAGGUUUUUUUACUUCGUUAAACUUUUCAAAAUUAGUCAAAGUCGUGAGUUCUUUACUUAGUUUAAUUUUUUUUUUAAAAAAAAAUAAUUAUUUAAAAUAAAUGAGUUCUUUUACUUAAGUUAAAAUUUCAAAAUUAGUCAAAAUCAUUUUGGUCAAAUCGUCGGUUAACCGCAAGUUAGCGGACAUUCCGAGGGUCUAACACCUUCUCGGAAUGUACAUUUGAACUCGAACCCUUUUCUCAAUUGAUUUUAUCUGUUUAAGUUUUUUGAAAAAUCUUGUUUUUUUUCUUGAUUUUUUACUAAAAAAUUAAGUGGCGACUCUGUUCUUUUGGAAAUUCGAUUUCUCUUAAAUCAUAAGUUUAAUCGAUUUUUCGAAAACUCAGUCAUUUUUCUUGUAUAUAUCUUUUUAAACAAAACAGUCAUCUUGCCAAUCCAAUCUAGGUCAUAAGUCAUCCAUGGAAAGGUAUCAUUCAAUACCCAAUCCAAGCUAGGUUUCAUUAGGAUAACUCUUUAUCUUUGAUUCAUUUAGGUGGGAAGACGUUUCAACCUUAGAACCCUUACUAUGUGAGAAAACCUUUCAAGACCACACUUUCAUGUGUAUAUGAGAAAUCCUUUCAACAACACAACAAUAACAUCAUCAUUGAUACCUAACUCUCAAAGUAUCCUUAAAACAUUUUCAUAAAUUUCAUAAGAACAUGCAAAAUUCCAUAAUUCAUCUUUCAAGGUUCAAAACCCACUUUCAAUCAUCAACCUCUAGAAAACAUGGGUGGACAUGGGUUUCUUCAUAAAUUCAUGUAAUUCUAUCAUUUCAUGCUUGAUUUCAUAAAACUCUUCAUUCAUAAUGCAAGACCCACAUUAUAUGCUCAUAACUUGGGAAAACAUGGGGAUUUCAUGGGUUUAUAGGGGAAUCAUAAUAAAAUCAUAGUAUUUCAUCAAUUCAUGCAUAAGAGAUCAUAAGUCAAUCAUUUAAAUCAAUAAUCAAGAGAACCCAUGGAAUUGAAGAAAACCCUAACUCAAUCGUGGAUUUCUAAUUGUGAAAAUAGGAGAAUCUGUGAACUCAAUGAAUGGAAGAAAUCCAUGGAUGAAAACUAGCAUACCUUACUAUCAAAACGCAAAAGAAAUUGAAGAAUGAAGGCUUGAUCUUGAACCCUAGUUUGAAUCUUCUUCUUCAACCUUCUAGGGAGAGAAAUAUCUUUGGGAAAGAGAGAGACUCAACUUCUUUUGGUGAAUUUGAAUAGAAUGAAUUAAAUUUGGGGUUAAAAUCACUAAUAUAGCGGUUUUAGUGAAGGGUAAAAUGACAUAGUAUUAGGAUAAAAUAAUUAGCAAAAGACACAACUGCCCCUAGGAAAUAACUACCGACCCCAAACAAUGGCCUAACAAAUGGACCGUGGUUUGAUCGACGGUCCGUCCUGCUGGUCCGUCGUUUGGCAUCAGAAUGUGGAAUGUGAGGCAAUGAUCCACGGACCUCAAUCCAAGGUAUAUGGACCCAAUGACGGUCCGUUGGUCCAGGUCAUGGCUCAUGAUCAUAUGAACCUAUUUUGGGUGGCCAAUCCACGGACUAGACCUACGGUCCGUGGCUUAGUGCACGAGCUAUGGCUGGCCUCCGUCGGAUGGCACCAGAAAUUUCUGAAAACUGCUAUUAUGUCCCUUCUUGAAUCCGAGGUUUUACCACAUCAUCCUCGGCCCUCUCAACAUUAUCAUACACAUAAAUAUCAACACUAGCAGUUGUCUUAGGCUGCACACCGGAAGUAGGCUCACUACUAGGUAUCUGUGCUGGCAUGGAAGUAAGUGCAUUCGGUAGGGAACCUCACCCCGUAGCAUCUAAAUGUCAGUAGACUAUAACUGAGUCACCUCCGCUCGUAAUUUAGCAAGAUUCUCUCUCAUAAUGUCUAGGUUACCAGAACUACUUUGGCCUUAUCUUGGGCCUCAAUUCUAGCGGUGAGGGUGUCCAGCCUCAAACCAUGGCUCUCAACCAAGCCUUCACACCUACUCACCCUGUCUCUCGAUGGAGCUAAGGCUUUCUCUAUAGCCCUAUGAAUGAUCCAGGGCAUGUCUGUCUUAACCCGUGCGACUCUAACAUCCGCUGAUCGGGCAAGGCUGCCGAACUUAUAAAUUAUAGCCUGGGUCAAAGGGGAUGGGUCAUAGAAGUAGCGGUAGGCCUUAGAGAAUUAGCAUCAACAGACACAGUACUAGUAAGAGCAAUAGUAGAAGAAGGCACAAAAGAAGGUGUGGAAAUACUUACCUGUUCCACGGAAGGAGCAGAUGUGCUAGCCCCAGCUGUUAUGUGGUAGGAUCAACCACAUAUGUCAUAUCAGUUGGUUGCGGCUUCUUGAGAGUCGCAUAAUCCCGUAAGUACUCAACCUCAAUCUGUCUGAUAUAGCUGAAAGAUUCUGGGGUGAUCCUCACAUCUGUAGCUUCCCUAAAGGGGACUCUUGCCCUCUCACACAACUAUGUAAUAAGGACAAGGAAUAGGAGAGAUAUCUUCUCCUAGCUAGCCCUCUUCAAUAUCUCAUCGACAAUAAUCACACCCAUAUGAAUGUGCUCCCUGUCAAUGAUGGUGCCCACUAGAAUUGGCUUGUCAUGGUGAAGGACAAACUCCUUUUGUGACAGGAUGAUGUUACUCUUGAUGAAGCCAAACAAGUAUCGUGCUACCACAUUCACAUCCUUCUUCUCAAUUUGAGCACCACCAGUCAUCUAGGAGGGAGAAAAAUUAGAAAUUAGAGGAGCCAACCACCCUUCAAAGAGUCCAAGUCAUGUCGCAUCCGAAGUGCAUACAAGUUUGCUUGAAAUCCUGGUAUUCCCAGUGCAGUGUUAAUUGCCCAGUAUUGCAUUGUACUUUCAUGCCGCGCACUUCCACUUCUUCAAGCGACUUCCAAAUUGUACCAUUCCACUUUUUGGUAGGUCCUGAGCAUAAGUUGUGUAGAACUCUCGCACCCAAGAAGGAAUAUAAAGGGAUCUUUGCUUUGUGAACCCCUCAAACUUGUGAGAUUGAAUGUUCUACCAAAUAGUUUGCUACUUGAUCAUGACUCCAUUUGUAGAAAUACAUCUCUCCUCAAGAAUAGUUCUCUCUCCAGCAGCUUUUAGCCUAUUAAGGGAUCUUGGAGAGAUAACUGAGAGAACCCUAAAAGUAGGUGCUUGUGCGGAGAAGAGUUGCACCAAUUUGAACUGGAUUUGUGUCCUUUUCCUAACAACCCCCAUUUUAGGUUGUACUAUUUCUUGGGUAGAAGCUUGUGGAGUGGUCAACUAUUGACGACGAGGAGCCUCAGAAGACUCGUUUAUGGAAAUUCCCUUGUGUCUCUUUAGAGGAGAAGGAGGAUGAGAGUCUUUUUCACACUCGAUGUCGGAUGUUACCACUUGCUUUCUUUUUGUUCAUUCCAUAAUCUGCAAGCACACAUAGGAUUUAUGAUGGUUAGUUGAAAUGAAACUCACUUCGAAUCAAAGUUCUAAAACUAUCCUGAGGCUCUCCUAACAGGAAGAUGGAUCACGAAAAAGAAUCAGUGGGCUCCGGUGAGCUCACCAAAUCAGACGGUAGUAAAAAUCCCAGGAAUCAGUCAUACAAGGCACAUCAAUUCCAUCUCGACGGUUCACCGAGUCAGUUUUGGCGGGCUAAGACAAGUCCGCCGAAAAUGAUAGUGCAAAUUGGUAAAAGAUAGGCAUCAAAGGCGAUGUCCACCCCUACUCGGUGAUUUGGAUCUUGAAUACGCUUGAAAUUUUGGAUCUAGAUUUGAAGUUUAACCAUCUUUGAGGGUGGGAAGAAUAUCUCCAAGAAGUCAUCAUUUAAUUCCUCCCACAAAGUGAUAGAAUCAUUUGGCAAUUUCGCCAACCAUCUUGAAGUUUCUCCCGUAGGCGAGAACAAAAAUAACCUCAACCUUACAAACUCUUGAGAGAUAUUCUUGAACACAAAUGGUCCACAUACUUUUAUGAAAUUCCUAAGGUGUUCAUGGGGAUCCUCAUGAUCUAGGCCCCCAAAAUAUUCUUUCCGUUGGAGCAGUUAAAGCAUUGUUCCAAUUAUGUUAAACACAACCCUCCCGUCUGUGAGAGGUAUCCGGAUGGCUCCCGUUAUUUGAAUAAUAUUCAUAUCAUUCAAAUCAUCCAUAUUGUCAUUUUGACCAUAGUGACUAUCGUUGUCACUACCAUGAUCACUCAUUGUAUAAAACAUCCUAAUCAGCCAGUAACAACACGAAACAACAAUCUACUGCAACUAAACAAAAUUACAAACUAAUUUCUCAAUUAUAAUUCUCAACCACCACUCCCUGGCAGCGGCGUCACUUUUGACAACACUCAAAUUUCCUCCUUAAAACAAAUAAUAUGUGCAACGGUCAUAGUCGAUAAAAAUCCAACAAAGAGUCAGGGUCGAAUUCCACUGGGAAUGGUAUAUCGUAAAAGAAUUUUUAUAUAGAAAUUUGGAUUCUAGGGUGUGUUUGAUAUGCCGGAAAAUGUUUUCCAAUUUUCUUAUGUUUGGUUGGGUUAAAUGUUUUGGAAAAUGUUUUCCAAAUCAACUCAUUUUCCUCAAAUUUAAGGAAAAUGACUUCCCUUCAAAACUUAAGGAAAACAUUUUCCAAAACACUCUUCCAACUUCAAAUUACAAUUUUAUUUUUGUUGAAAAAAAUCAAUUUAUUUUGUCACUACCCUCAAACCACCUUCCCCAACCAUCCCCCUCCCCAAUUUUUUUUUAACUUUGUUUUUAAAAAAUAUUUUCUACUUCAAAAUAUUUUUUUUCACCCCUACCCUCGACCCCCCCACUACCCCAACCCCCAACCCCUCACCCCCCAAAAAAAUUAUGUUUAUUUUUAAAAAAUAUUUUCGAUUUCAAAAAUUAUUUUCUACUCUAGUAAAAAUAAAAGAUAUUUCUCAAAAACAUUUUUCAUUCAUAAAUCAAACACUAAAAAUCUUUUCCGGAAAAUAUUUUCUAUUCACCAACCAAACAUGAGAAAAUAAGUCAAAAAUCUACUUGUUUUCCAGGAAAAAAAAUUCCUUCAUACCAAACACACCCCUAAAGUUGUUCAUUUGUAAUAGUAAGAGAACAAGUUUGUGGAUGAUACAACCAAUUUAAUAAAAAGCUUUGGUUAUCAAUUAUCAUGAUUAAAAUAAAAAUUUGGAGAAUUCAAGAGUUAACAAUCAAUCUAGGGGUGCAGGGAUCGGAAAUCAAAGUCACAUAGGGGUAAUUGUGCUUCUCUAUAGUGAUGAACAUUCAUGAAUAGGCUAAGUAAUCUUCAUUGACGCUAAUCCUCUUUCGAUCUCAAAGCAUCUAUACAUAGAAUCUCCUUUCGAUCUCAUCUAAAUGCCAAUCUAAACAACCCAAUACCUUAUUCUAUUCUCUCUUUCGAUGCAGAAAUAAGGCAAAUAGAUCCGACACAUGACCUCUAUUUACAAGAAAGUUACAAAUAUCAAACUUAAAUUGCAAGUAUUGGACUAAUUACCCACUCCAAUCAAUCUCUUUCGAACAUAGAUCGGAAGUAAAAAUUAACUUUACAACCUUAACCCAUAAAUUAACCUCAUUCUAAUUAGACCAAAUUCAUGUAUGAACAACAAUAAAAUAGAGCAUACAACACUAACCACUACAUUAAAUCAACACCCAACCCCAUAAUUUCACCCCUAGAUCUUGAGGGUUUAGCCACCCAUCACAAAAAGUAAAGAGAUUAUACCUUCCAUAAAAGCAUUCAUUGGUAACAUGAAAUUAAGUAAUUACAAGUAAACCCACUUUGGAUUCAACUUAAAUUUGUCAAUUUGAAGAAAAAAAGUUGAAAGCCCCAAAAGUUAGAAAGUGUUAUUCACAAAAGUUAAGUGCUAUCUCUCAAAACUCAAAAUAUUUCUCGCUCUUUUUAUUUUUCAAAACUUAGGAUUUUUCCCUUAAUUUCUCUCUUCUUUGGGCUAUUUAUAAUUUCACAAAAUUAGGCCCAAAAUCCAAUGCGUGUCUCAUUUGACGACAUUAGUUGGGCUCACUGAGCUCGUUCGGCGAAUCGCCCCUUACUAAUCAGCUCGCCUUUUCAUGGUCUAGGCUUUAGGUGUUUGAACCUCAGUCGUCGAACUCGUUUGAGUCAGCCUUUCACAUUCGGCGAAUCACCGAGUACCACAUUUGUUUAAAUUUUCAACAUUCAAUCUUUUCUUUUUACACUGUUAUUUUCGAUGAGUAUUAGUGAGGUCGCCUUUCUCAUUCGGUGCAUGGCCUUCUCGUUUGGAUUUCACCUACUUGUUUGGAUAGACAUAAGUGCUAUGUACUGUCAUUUUGGGUAAAGUUAGGGUCACUAGGUGAUCUGUCUUUCUCGUUUGGCGAUCAACAAUGUAUAGUUUGCACAUAUUUUUGCAAUUGUAGCCAUUCUUUCAAACAUCAAUCCUUGCCUUCUCCAUUUGACUUCAUAGCAGCAAAUCAUCAAAAUAUCAUCAGAAUAGAAAAAAAUUAGGCAUUUAGGACACUAAUUAUUGAGUUAAAUAUACCUCAAAUAAGUGUAAAUCUACCACUCAUCACUCUUGCUGUAGCACACAGGUUGGAGUUAUAUCUUUUGCUUGUGCGCAAAGUCUAGUGGCUAGAAUGUAAUUAUCUUAUUUGAUCUAUGUGUGUGAUGUGAGUAGGGAGGUCCCUCUAGAUGAGUCAGUUCUAGUUGUCCGUGACUAUGCAUAUGUGUUUUUUGUGUACCAACCUGGCUUAACCCUAGAAUGUGAUAUUGACUUUUUGAUUGAGCUUGAGCCGAUAAUUCGACUAUUUUCUAUUUUGACAUAUCAAAUGGCUUUUGCAGAGCUCAAGGAUCUCAGUGUUAAACUUCAGGAUCUCUUGGGUAAGGGACUCAUUGGGCCUCGUGAAUCGCCUUGGGGUGCUCCUAUUCUCUUUGCAAAGAAGAAGGACCGUACGAUAAGAAUGUAUAUUGAUUAUAGACAUCUGAAUAAGGUGACGAUGAAGAGCCAUUACCACAUGCCUAUGAUUAAUGAUCUGUUUGACCAUCUUUAGGGUGCCUUGAUAUUUUUUAAGAUUGAUCAGAGAUCUGAUUACAAUCAGCUGAGGAUUAGGGCAUCGUACAUCCCUAUGACCGCAUUUUUGACUCGAUAUGGCCAUUAUGAGUUCCUUGUGAUGUCUUUUCAGUGGACUAGUGCAACUUCCUCCUUAAUGGACUUGAUAACGCGGGUGUUUAGGCCUUAUCUACACUUAUUCAUUAGAGUUUUUAUAGAUGAUAUCCUUGUAUACUCCCGAAGCAAGAGAGAUCAUGAGAACCAUUUGAGGACUAUUCUCCAAACAUUGAGAUAUUAGCAACUUUAUGCCAAGUUCUUAGUGUGCGAGUUUUUGCUAGAGUCUAUAGCAUUCUUGGGGUACUUUGUGUCAAAGAAUGGCAUCAUGGUAGAUCCGAUAAAGAUUGAUGCUUUUUCUGAUUCGGCUAGGGUCACUUCAUUACUGAGAUUCGGAGCUUCGUCAGUUUUGAUGAAUACUACAGAUGGUUUGUGGAGGGAUUUUCCACUAUUGAAACACCUUUUACAUAGUUGACUCAUCUUCAUUUUCCUUUGAGUGGCCUAAGGAGCGUGAGUUGAGCAUUCAGUUGCUUAAGAAGUUGCUAACCACCACUCUUAUGCUGAAUCUUCCAGCUGAUAAAGAGAGCUUCAUGGUAUAUUUUGACACAUCCGAUAUUUUUCUUGGUUCUGUAUUGAUGUAGCGGGAUUGAAUAUUGCUUAUGAAUCGAGGAAGCUUAAGCUACAUAAGUGAAACCACCCCACUAAUGACUUGGAGUUGAUGUCGGUAGUUUUCGUGCUUAAGAUCUGGAGGCACUACCUGUACAGAGUUCUUUGUGAGAUCUACACUGAUCACAUGAGUCUUUAGUACAUUAUGAGCCGGAGGGACCUUAAUUCAAGGCAGCAUUGUCGGAUUGAGCUUCUGAAGGAAUAUGACCUCUCUAUUCUCUAUCAUUCGGGCAAGGCGAAUGUAGUAGUGGAUACCUUGAGCCAGAAGGCGGUGAGUAUGGGCAGUCUAGCCUUCCUGUCUACUAUAGAGCGACCUUUGGCUUUGGACAUUAGUCCUAAGCUAAUCAGAUGAUUCAGUUAGAUAUUUUAGAUUCUAGGAGUAUCUUAGCCUAUGUAGGAAUUAUCAGGUCUGUGGUCGUCAGUUUGAGGAUGAGACUUUUGUGGUGCUUCUAGAUCGAGUGUUAUAAGGGACGCCGAUCAGGCUACCUUAUAUUUAGAUAGAAUUAUGAGGUUUGCUGACCUAAUUUAUGGUUCGAAAGUUGGGGAUUUGAUUCGUUGAUACUUCGUGAGGCCCAUGAUGCUAUAUACUCUAUCCACCCAGCCAACACAAAGAUGUAUCUCGACUUGAGGUAGCAUUAUUAGUGAAGCGACAUAAGGAGAGAUACUAUAGAUUAUGCGUCCUAUUGCCUCUACUGCUAUCAGGUGAAGGCCGAGCAUUUGAGGUCUGAUUGUGAGUUUGAGAGAUUACCCAUUCAGGAGGGAAAGGGGGACCACAUCACUAUGGAUAUUGUUAUCGGUUUGCCUCGAACUUCUAGAGGUGUUAACAGCAUUUGGAUCAUCUUUGAUUGAUUGACCAAGUCAUCACACUUCCUCCCUGUUCAAUCUUCAUUCAAUACUACGAGGUUGGCCCAUAUCUACAUUCAAGAUGUGGUUCAUCUUCAUGGUGUGCCUAUAUCUAUCAUAUUAAUUAGAUCAGGGUGCCCAGUUCACUUCUAGCUUUUGGAGGACCAUUCAAGAGGAGUUACGCACCCAUGUCGAUCUUAACAUAAUAUUCCACUUGCAGACUGAAGAUCAACCCGAGUGUACUAUUCAGGUUCUUGAGGAUAUAUUGUAGGCUUAUGUUUUGUAGUUCAGAGUCCAGUAGGAAAAGUUCUUGCCUUGGAGGAGUUUACAUACAACAACAUCUACAACAACAUGUCACAUGGGUAUUCGCCUCUUGUCAUUCUAUAAGGAUCAUGGGUACUCACCUCUUGACCAAAUCAUAUCUUAAGAAUAUGGGGAGUCCCCUCUUGUUCAACUUUAAGGAAUAAGGGUAAUCACCUCUUUAUUCUACUUCAUGGAAUAUGGGUAAUCGCCUCAUAUCCAUCUCAUUUGGAGGUCAUGGGAAUCACCUCUAGCCUCAUCAAUAUCUUAGUCAUUAGCAUUAGAUUCAUUUUAGGUGAGCAAUCAUUUCAACCUAGAAUAAUUCAAGGUGAGAAAACCUUUCACAUGCAUAACAUAAGCAAUUCAUGUGGGAACUAUCCCUUCCACAACAAUUACAUCAAAAUUCAACAAUUGACAACAUAAGCUUUACUAUCAAAGCACUAUAUCUCAUAGUCAUUCUAUAUGCUCAAUCUCAAGCAAUUCAAUAUCAUUAUCAUAUCAUAAGAUUCAAUCUCAAAGCAAUCCUAAUCAUGAUUCAUCAUAUAUAGGCUUCAAUUCUAAUAUAUCUCAUCAAUCCUACAUUGAAUACAUCUAAACCCACAAAUUCUCCUUUAAUGGCAUAAAACCCAUCUACAGUUCGUAGUCCCUUCCACGGGUCGUGGGUGGCCGACGUGGGUUGCACCUGCAAAUUUCUGGGAAUCAGUUUCAUUUCCCUUUUUUGGAUACGGGGUGUUACAAUAUCUCCCCCAUUGGGACCAUUCGUCCUCGAAUGAGAUUCAAGUUGGUUCUAAAUGAGUAGGAGAGGAACUAACAACCCAACCUACAAUGCAAUGCAUACAACCAAGGAGAUACUAUCGACUCCAAGCUAGGACGUUCUCAAAACAUCAUAAGAGAGGUGAAAUUAAAUCUAGUAGCCCAUUAUGCAUGCAAUGCACAUAAACAAGGAGGAAACAUCAACUCCAAGCUAAUCAUACUCAAAUGCAUUAUAAGGAAGUAUGAACUAUAUCUAGCAACCCAAUAUGCAUGAAAUUUCAAAAUUUCUCAUGUUCAAGGAGGAACUAUCUUCUCCAAGCUAAAAACAUGCUCAACACAAUCUCAUGGAGCCCAUAUUCAUCAUUCAUAUCAUGAAGUCUAUAGGAAACUCAUACUCAAUGCACAACAACAUGAGAAAAAUCAAUCAUAUAAACUCAUUUUCUUUCAAAACACAAGUUUUCAUAAACAUGCAUCACAUAAGGAAAUCAUGGAAACACAUAAAACACAUGACUUCCCAAAACAAAAGACAAACCAAGAGGAACUCAUUACCUCAAGCUAGAGUAGAAGUAUAAGGAAGGAGAUGAGGAUAUUGGGACAUCAUAUCGGCCUCGGCUUCCCAAGUAGCACCCUCAACUAACUGAUUCCUCCACAAUACUUUUACGGAAGCUAUUUCCUUGUUUCUCAACUUCUUGACUUGCCGGUCUAGUAUCUCUAUCGGAACUUCCUCAUAAGAAAGACAUUCAUCAAUUACCAACCCUUCUAAGGGAACUAUCGAUGUCAGAUCUCCAACACACUUCUUAAGCAUAGAGACAUGGAAAACAUGAUGAAUUGUUGCAAACUCAUUUGGCAAAUCUAACUCAUAAGCAACCUUACUGACACGCCUUAAUAUUUGAUAUGGGCUUACAUAUCGGGGAGUAAGCUUCCCCUUCUUACCAAACCUCAUAACACCCUUCGUGGGUGAGAUUUUCAAGUAAACCCAAUCGUUAACAUCAAACUCUAGAUCUUUUUCUCACAUCGACAUAUGACUUUUGCCGACUUUGAGCCAUUUUUAACCUCUCUCUAAUAAGCUGGACUUUCUCCAUAGCCUCAUGAACUAACUAGGGUCCUAUCAAGGAAAAUUCACCCACCUCAAACCAACCUAUAGGAGAUCUACACCUCGUACCAUAAAAAGCUUCAAAGGGAGCCAUACCACCACUAGAAUUGUAGUUAUUAUUAUAAGUAAACUCAAUCAAUGGAAAGUAAUCAUCCUAAUUUCCCUUGAAAUCGAUGAAUCACGCUCUCAAUAUAUCCUCUAAAGUUUGGAUAGUCCGCUAUGCUUGCCUAUCGAUUUGUGGGUGAAAAGUCGUACUAAGCUUCACCUUAGUGCCAAGACCCUUUUGGAAUGACUUCCAAAACUGGGAAGUAAAUUGAGUACCUCUAUCGGAGAUAAUGGACAAGGGUACCCCAUGCAACCUUACCAUUUCCCUCAAAUAUAACUUGGCAUAGUCCUCCGCCGCAUAAGAAACUUUGACGGGAAUGAAAUGGGCCGAUUUCGUCAAUCGGUCUGCUAUGACCCAAAUCAAAUCAUAUUGCCGCCGAGUACGUGGAAACCCUACUAUAAAGUCCAUAUUCAAGUCUUCCCACUUCCAAGUAGGAAUGUUAAUGUCUUGGGAUAAACCUCCCUAUUCUGAUGCUCAACUUUCACUUGUUGGCAAUUUUUACACUUAGCCACAAAUCCCACAAUAUCCUUAUUCAUCAUAUUCCAUCAAUAGACCUCCCGCAAAUCACGGUACAUCUUGGUAGCUCCUAGGUGAAUGGAAUAUCGAGAACUAUGUGCUUUUGUCAAGAUCUGUUCCCUUAAAUCAUCAACAUUAGGAACACAUAAUCGACCUUGAUAUCUAAGUACACCAUCUCCCCCUUAGGAGAAAGUCUCAAUGGACUUCUUGAGCACCGCUUUUAUCAAUUCUACUAAAGUUAGAUCUACAAAUUUCUUAGCUUUCACGUCACUCACAAAAGACGAUUCGGAACCAUUAUGGACUAUAACACAACCCUUGGUGGAAUCAACUAGCUGAACUCCCAAAUGGGCCAAUCUAUGUACAUCUCGUACCAAUUCUUUCUUAUCAUCAUCAAUGUGAGCAACACUACCCAUAGAUAACCUACUAAGAGCAUCCGCUACCACAUUCGCCUUACCGGGGUGAUAAAGAUCCCUCAAAUUAUAAUAUUUCAAUAACUCAAGCCACCUUUUUUGGUGAAGAUUCAGAUUUUUCUAAUUAAACAUAUAUUGCAAGCUCUUGUAGUCGGUGAACACAUCUACAUGAACACCAUACAAAUAGUGCCUUCAUAUCUUUAAGGCAAAAACCACCGCCGCUAAUUCAAGAUAAUUGGUAGGAUAAUUGUUCUCAUGAAUUUUAAGUUGCCUUGAGGCAUAGACAAUAACUUUCCAAUUUUUCAUAAGAACACAUCCUAACCCAAUUAUUGAGGCAUCACAAUACACCACAAAAUCAUUUGUCCCUUCCGGUAAAGUCAACACCAAAGUGGAAGUAAGUCUAUCGUUCAACUCUUGGAAACUCUUCUCACAUACUUCGGACCAUAUAAACUUAGCCAUCUUUUGAGUCAAAGCCGUCAAUGGAGAGGCGAUAGAAGAAAACCCCUCAACAAACCGUCGGUAAUAACCGGCCAAACCUAAGAAACUUCUAAUGUCCAAAGGUGAUAGAGGUCUAGUCCAACUAAGGUUGACAAACGGACAGGACCGGAUCAACAGGACCGGUUUUACCGGAACCGGUCCUCGUUACCGGAUUUCGUUACCGGAACCGGGUCUUACCGGAACCGGUUUUAUCGGAAAUUUCCAAUGGUUCCGUCCAGUCCCUUAGUUACCGGAUUGGAAUCGGUUUGGACCGGACCAGAACCGGUUCUUACCGGAUCAUUGUGUACCGGUAAUUAUUUUUUAUUUUUUAUUAACUUUAAUUAUUAUAUAAUAAUAUAUUAUUAAUUAAUAAAAUUAUAUUAUUAAAAAACUUCAAUUUAAAACUUUAAACUUUAAAGUUUAAAGUUUAUAUUGAAUUUAAAAUUGACUUUAAAUUUUAAAGUUUAUAUUGAAUUUAAAGUUUAAACCUUAAAAUUCAAUUUUAUAUUAAAGUUUAAACUAAUAUUAAAAUAGUUGAAAAUUAAAAUUUCUAAAAUGACUUGGAUUAAAUAUAAGAGACUAUUUUAAAAGGAAAUCAAGGCAAAUAGCCAUAUAUUUAUUCAAAUAAAUAAAUUGUACAAUACAAAUAUUAGAAAGAGACAAAGAGUACAUAAUCUAGGUAUUGAAUAUUAAUUAUUGUACUAACAAUUGAAAUUUUUUUAAAAAUCUUUUCGUAACUUUUGUAUCAUUUCAAAAGAAACAUUUUUUGGAACUUGUAUUUGUCGUUCUUCUUCCAUUGCUUCCAU